RNAcentral lists this microRNA precursor (125 nucleotides) under Cricetulus griseus (Chinese hamster). RNAcentral describes it as "miRNA (ENSCGRG00001002902.1)". The record is from RNAcentral. Lineage: Eukaryota; Metazoa; Chordata; Mammalia; Rodentia; Cricetidae.
GGUUUCUCUGUGUAGCCCUGGCUGUCCUGGCACUCACUCUGUAGACCAGGCUGGCCUCAAAUUCAGAGAUCCACCUGCCUCUGCCUCCCGAGUGCUGGGAUUAAAGGUGUGAGCCACCACUGCCC